GAGGAGAGAGGAGAAGGACAGGGACAAGGAAAGGGGCCCCUGGGCCCUGCUGACCGUCGCGGAAAAGGCUGUAGGAAAGAUGAGUCACCUGGGCACCCGCAGCAAUCUCUUCCUGCUGUUGGGGGCCAGGCGUGCUGGGGUCACCGCCCCCCCCCCACCCCCAGGGUGGUCGCCGGGAAAGGGGGCAGUGGGCAGGAGAAGGGAGGUGGCAGCCCCUGGGUCACUUCUGUGGAGGAGAGUGAACUUGACAUCCGAGAGUGUUGGCCUCUCUCCCUUCUUGCAGGGUGGAGGUCCUGAGUCCAGGGGCUUUCGUCCACCCCACGGGAACCCCGUUUUACUGAGUGCUUGAAGGUUGAAACUGCACGAUUUUGGCCACGUCACAGACCUGGGACCUUAGGGCUAACCAGUUCUCUUUGGAAGGACUCGUGCCUCCAGAAGGGGGUAUCUUUCUGUUCCCAAGCCUGGGCCUCUGGCACCUCCAGAAUGUCCAGGAUCGGGGAGUGGGCGUCCCUGGGAGAUGGGUCCCAGGCCUCCCAUCCCCCCCCCCCCAGCCACGACAGCCCCCUCUGCUGUCCCUCUGUGCGCAUGUGUCUGCUGUGAGCCCAUUCACUGCCAUGCCUCACAUUCUGUCUCACUGUCCUGCUUUUUCCACCCGCCGUGGCCCUUGGUGAGACACGGGCGGCGCCCACCCUCCGCCGAGGGGCGAGAUUUGAGGGAUGGCAACGUACAGGCACCAAGGGUUGGAGCUCCAUCUUCCUGUAAGUUCCCUUAUCCAAUCAGUGUGCCUCUCACAAUGGAGCUCUGGAAGCCAGGGCUUGGUGUUGUGGUAGCCUCCCCCUCCCCCCCCAGGCUGGCUCCCUUCCUGUGCUGAGCCAGCAGCAGCAGAUCGGGUGGCCUGGUGGCUGGCACCAGCACAAAGGCCUCCCAGACUCCCAGGGCAGAGCCAGGCUCCCUCCACCCCCUCCCUCCACCCCAGCUUGCUGCAGAGUCGACCCUCCACACCCAGCUACGGGACACGCCCUCAAGAGUUCUUCCCCCCAAUCCCAGCAGAAGCGGCGCCGCCUGUCCUGCGGGAGCAGCUGAACACCCCCACCCCACCCCGUCCACACCCUGUUGCAUUGUAGUUGAAUUUGUCUGUUUCCAUUUGGCUUCACCAGAGUGAUUAUGAUAGUGAAAAGAAAAAAAAAAAAAGGAUGCAUGUAUCUUGAAAUGUUUGUAAAGAGGUUUCUAGCCCACCCUGGGGAGGGGGGGCGGUUCUGGAUCUUUCUCACCCCUACCGGAACUUGGCUAGGACUUGCUCAACAGCAGAUUUGGCCAUCUUACGACUGAGCUGUGAAGAAGGCCUGAGCACCGGAGGCCCAACUAUGCCCCUGGCACGGAGGCCUCCGCUGCCCCGCAGCUCCCUGCUAGGGCAGCCUGUGGCCAGCCUCGUGCGCAACAUGGAGACGAGAUGGUGCUCAAGCCCACAGCAGCUCUAAAGGAGAGUCUUACCACUGUGCCACCAGAAAAAGGACGUCGGUGCCAGCCGGAAGAGCUGCAGCCCCCCGGAAGCUCCAUGAGCCUGCAGGCAGCCGUCCCUGGGCUGGGGGGGGGGGGGUUCUCCAAGAUCUCCUUGGUUGUGGUGGUGGGGGGUGGCUCCUUGGGCCUCCUUACUGGAGGGAUUGGGAAGGACUGCCCAGCAGGCCCGGACGCCAGGUGCCUGGGCUGUCUGAGAAAAGGGGACCAAGUCAGGGGACCCACUUAGCUCCCAAAACCUUUGCCCACCCCCACUGACCUAGCACAAGCUUUCUUUGCUGCUACUGGGAAAGUGAAAUCAUCUUUGCAGAAACCCAGCCGCCUCAGGCCCAGUUAGUUCUGCCACCUCUGGUUUGGGUAGAGACAGCCCUGAGAACGGGGGAGCAGAGCUUUCCUUGCAAGGAAUUAUAGGGGCCCCAGGAACUUUCCAUGGUGAGCUUCCCUACUGCCACGUCUCAGCUGUCCUCAGAAAUGAAGGGUUCUGAGGGGGAGAGGAGGAAGGAUGGCUUAAAAGAUGUUGACUGAUGUUUCUUGCACCUCAUUUUCCCCUCCUGUAACCCCUGUGCUGUUGUGUAUGGAGGGCUCUCCCAUUUCCCUUGUGGGAUGGGUGUUGAGGCCAACCCAAAGGCCAUGGCUUAGGGUGGUCCGUUCAGUGCUGACUGACUGCAAAGGGAUGCUGGCUUGUGACUGUAAUGGACAAUCGCCCCCCCCCCCCCGGGGCUGGGCAUGUCUCUCCCUCCAUUUUCCCUGCUCCAGAGCCAAUGGCCCUGAGUGGCUAAAUAGGGCAUACGAUGACCGGUUCCUUCCAACUUUCUAUUCACUUUAAUAGUUCCAUUUAAAUCGACUUCAGUGGUGAGACUGUAUCCUGUUUGCGAUUGCUUGUUGUGCUGCGGGGUGGGAGGGGGAAACAUGUAAGAUAGUUCAUAUGGGUGGGAGGGGGGAUAGUCUUGGAGUGCAGCAAGUUCCGCUGCCUGGUAACCCUUUUCAGGAUUCAUGUUGCUAGAGAGAGGUGGUGUCAUGGGGCUUCGGCUGCUCUGCCCCUUGUACCAGCAGCCAGUUGGUUCCUGCGGCCUCCCCAGCCAGGUGCAGUCGCCCAGCUAGUGGAGGAGGGACUUGAGACCUGGUUGCUCCAGCCUGCUGUCCUCUUGGGUGUCCUAAGCCCACGUCUCUGGCUCCUCGAGGCCUGGCACUCUUCCCUCGAAGCCACUGGCACCUUCGUAUCCUGCCUUUCCCACUGGCUCUCACAGUCUAGCAGCUGUGAGAACAUUUCAUGCCCCUUGCCGUUCUUCCCCAAGUAACUCGAAAGGUGGGGAUGUGGGUAGAGGUGGUUAUCAGCCAUAGGGCCGUGGCUUCGUGAGCCUUUCAAGUACUUCUCUCCAAUUUUGCAAAGGGUUAUCCUGGGCACUGAUCCAGUGUCUCAACUCCUCUUGGACCUAACCUGUACAUUUGCUGUGCUGGGCAGGGCCGUUUCCAGCACUUGCAAGUCCCAAGAUUUCUUUGGUAACUUUGGGGGGGGGGAACACAUGAAAUCAGCUUAGCUUAGCUUCCUGUCUGUGAAUGUCCACAUAGUGUAUUGUGUGUUUUAACAAAUGAUUUACACUGACUGUUGCUGUAAAAGUGAAUUUGGAAAUAAAGUUAUUACUCUGAUUAAAUAAGGUCUCUUCUAUACAUGAAUUCCAAGGACAAGAAGGAUUCCCAAUUUCUUUUCUACCCUUAGAGAACUUCAGAACAGUAAAUGAUAGUACUGU
Long non-coding RNA from Perognathus longimembris pacificus (Pacific pocket mouse), 3263 nucleotides. RefSeq lists it as uncharacterized. The transcript has 2 exons. The record is from RefSeq and is a predicted model, not a curated record. Lineage: Eukaryota; Metazoa; Chordata; Mammalia; Rodentia; Heteromyidae.